AUGAACGCUGGCGGCGUGCCUAACACAUGCAAGUCGAACGAAGCACUUUGAUUGAUUCUUCGGAUGAAUGAUGAGUGACUGAGCGGCGGACGGGUGAGUAACGCGUGGGUAACCUGCCCUGUACACACGGAUAACAUACCGAAAGGUAUGCUAAUACGAGAUAAUAUGCUUUUAUCGCAUGGUAGAAGUAUCAAAGCUCCGGCGGUACAGGAUGGACCCGCGUCUGAUUAGCUAGUUGGUGAGGUAACGGCUCACCAAGGCGACGAUCAGUAGCCGACCUGAGAGGGUGAUCGGCCACAUUGGAACUGAGACACGGUCCAAACUCCUACGGGAGGCAGCAGUGGGGAAUAUUGCACAAUGGGCGAAAGCCUGAUGCAGCAACGCCGCGUGAGCGAUGAAGGCCUUCGGGUCGUAAAGCUCUGUCCUCAAGGAAGAUAAUGACGGUACUUGAGGAGGAAGCCCCGGCUAACUACGUG
This 476-nucleotide ribosomal RNA is filed under the name uncultured bacterium. Its description in RNAcentral is "bacterial SSU rRNA". It matches the Rfam family "Bacterial small subunit ribosomal RNA", at positions 29 to 507 of the family's 1533-position model. The record is from RNAcentral.